Molecule: long non-coding RNA, 385 nt
Organism: Podarcis raffonei (Aeolian wall lizard)
Lineage: Eukaryota; Metazoa; Chordata; Lepidosauria; Squamata; Lacertidae
Exons: 2
Source: RefSeq, a predicted model, not a curated record
CAGCAGGCAACUUACAGCCUCCACGAAAAUGAAAUAAACACAGGUGAACCAACAUUCCACGAGGACAAUAUAAAUUGAAAGCAACUUUAAUGCACCAAGACGUAUUUAGCCUCAAAUAUCAUAAGAUUGCCAAAUGAGCAUGGAAUGAGUAAGUCUGUUGAAAAAUGGAUUCUGAGAAGUUUUGGAACAGCAAGCAUCAUGAUAACGUUCGACCACAAUCUCCUUUUGCUUUACUACAAAAGACCCCUGCUUGACUGAUUCCCUUUAUUUUCCUCUUUAUUAGUAGGCAUACCAUCUCGUUCUGUGUAUAUCCAUUUGUAUCUGAAUUAGCAUUCGUGUGUGAAUAUUAGGCAGGUUCAAUUUGUAAGAAAACUAUAUGUUUGUU